GGGGCUUCCAAUGAGAGGACUCUCAGAGAUGGGGACAUGUGGUAAGCAUUGUUAUUUACUUACUAUUAUAAUGCUACAUUAACUCCAUAAGGAGGGUGGUGGGAGGGAACAUGACAUCAUGGAUAAUGGAACCUUUUCCAGGAGUACCGUAGAGACCAGGUCCCCAUUAGGGAUGUGCAUGGGCAACAAAUUUGGUUCGGUUCAGAAAUUCGGGUAAGUAAAAAAAAUGUGUCUGCAUCAACAAUUUGGACCAAUGGCAUUCAAUUUGGUUCGGCACUUCCGAAAUGUGGAACUUCGGCAAUUCGAAACUUCAGCAAUUCGGAACUUAGAUAAUUCAGACCCUAACCCCUAACCCACUUCAUGACUUCGGCAAUAUGAUCCGGUUCAGCACUUCGGAAAUUCCACAAUUCGGACUUCGGACAUUCGUAAGCAUCCGAAUGUCCGAAUUGCACGAAAUUCGUCUGAAUGUACAUUUGAAACGAAACAAAUUGCACAUGUCUAGUCCCCAUCAUAUCUCAGCCAUCACCACAAAACAUGAAUGGAUUACACACAUUUGUUUAUGACGUGGUUGUAAAUGUAAUAUUAAUAACAAAAAUGGACAAUACAACAGCAUGUGUUAGUCACUUACAUUUACAUUUUAAGAGCUAAUUUGAAUGCUAAAUUAUACGUUGUACCCACAGAACACUAGUUUGAUUUCACAUCAAAAGUUGUCAGUUUGUGGCUCCGACUGUCAGGAUGAAACACAGACUGGCCAUGAUCAGUCUUUUGUUAACACUGAUGAAUUAAUUGGGUGUAAUGUGAAAAUCCCACUUAGUGUUUUCAUUGUUUGUAGUGUAUAUUCUGUUUUAUGGCAUGUUGUAUGUAUCAUAGAAUGUCUGUGUCUCUACUGUGCAGUGCAGUAAUACACAAUGAUACUCAACUAUGUUUAUCCUUAAACAAUAAUUGUCACCUAAAAACUAUUUUUUUUUUUUUUGCAUAGUCUCUGGUUUUCCCUGCUUCACUCCUUGCAGAGUGCAGUGACAUCAUCAGACUGACCGUCAGAUUCAGACAUGGUCUGGCCCAAACUGCAUGUAUAUGGCUGAUGGAUCCUGUCAUAAUCUGAAGGUAGGGAUCAAUUUUUCUAUUUUUUUGCAUAUACUUUAUUUAAUAAAAAAUAUAUUUCCUUUCAAAACUUGGUAAAAGGGUUAUUGUGUUACAAAAAAAAAUGUGUUUUAGGUUGUAGUUGACCUUUAAGCCAUUUUUUAAAAAUAUUCUUUAUUUUUGUUGGGCAUAGUAACAACAUACAGGUUCAUUUUGCCCCAACAGCAUUUGUGAAUCGUGAGUAAACUGAGUUUAUCACAGUACAAGGCAUGUAUGAGAAACUGCAAAUUUUUUGAUUAAUUGUUAAACAAACAAGGUCUUCGUCUGGAACAUCACGCGGUAUGCCGUCUGUAUAAGUAGUGAGGUCUUGAGGUUCUGACUGCUAUAUAGCAGGCUUCUCCAUGAGUAGGAAAUCGUAUAGACAAAAGAGGUUGGCAUUGUCGUAUUAGUGCCAUUAUGGUCCGUCAUGUGUAUAGGGGCGCAUGUGGGUAACAUGUGAGUGGACCGUAGAGUAUGGCCAAAUUCUCCUAAGAGGAUGCAUAUAUACCACUAACCUCUGGGGUAAGGAUGGGGGGAGGAUGUUGUCAGUAUUUCUAGGCAGAUGUCCCCACUGAAAUUGUGUGUAGAGUUACAGUGGGAGAUUCGGUCGCACCUGUCAGAGGUAUGAUAUGUAAAGCGUAAGGAGCAUGUGGUUAGUAUUAUAUGCCAUGGUUAUAUUAUUAUAUAGCUAUAUAUGCCAUGGUCAUCUGUAGUAAACUGAAAUGUAAAACUUAUAAAACCUAUAAAACCUAUAAAGCAGGCCCACUGGGUUAGUAAGGCUACUGAUCAGGCAUUCAUGUCACAGGAUUCACAACAACCCCAGGGACGAAUGGUGCGAUUUAGGACAUCCCAGGCAUGGCUGGUGGGCUGAGACGGCUGUGUUUCAAAAAGGCCCAAGGCCUGUAGGAUGUUUAGGCCCACUGGUGGUCCUGUUGCUUUAAAAGACUUUUUGUCUGUAGUGACCAUAAGGGACCUAGGGUAUGACUAUCAAUAGGUUAUUCCUGCCUCUAAGUAAGAAAUGGGUGUAGCGGAGAUGCAAUAUUACCCAGGUUAUCUCCGCUUAUAAUCCAAGUGAGACUCAGGAACAAGUAAAUAGUAAAUCCAAAGGCAGGGUUUCCAGCAGGUAAAAUACAGCAAUAUCCCAACAACAAUCCCAAUAACUGGACGACACACAGUUUCAGGAGCAUAACUGACAAGCCUUUAAUCACAGUCUCCUUAUAAAGCAUGCUCCCAUGCAAGGGAGGGAUUACAGUAAUUAUUACAGUAGCCAAUCCUGUCCUGGUAACCUCCCACACAUCUCCUCCCCUCAGCCAGCAUCAUAAUCCCCUUAUCCAGUACACCAAUUCCCCCGUUUCUGGAUGUACCCCUAAACGUAGGGGUACCUCUUUAAAUCCUACAUCCCCUGGUAGCCCUGAUCUGGGUGAACAACAUAUCCAAAAACCACCCAGAUCAGACCAGGGGUUCGGGAAAAGUAUGGAGGGAAUAAAAUGACCGACCGCACGAACUGAGAUAGCCGAAUUCGGUUCCAUGUGAAUGGGCCCUGCGGUCGGUCCUGGCAUAAGGGAAUAAAAUACACGAAAACCUCUAGCUAUAGAGGCUAGGGAGGGUUCGCCUGAAUCCCCUCGUUCGGUAUUCUCUAUCUACCGAACGAGGGGCCGUUCGGUAGUUUGGAACCGAACGGACCAGGGCUGUGGAGGUCUCAGCGGUGUUCGCCUACUCGAGUGUCCGAUUUUAGUUCCAGACACUCGACGGCUAAACACCGCUGUUCGGGAGUUUUAAAAUGGCCGCCGCCACGUGUUCGUUUGUCGAAUGGCGGCCACCCCCGAGAACAAAGGACGGCUACUUACUGUUCAAUUACCCGUUCGCAACAAUGUUGCAACGGGUAAUUGAGGACACACUUCACACAGGGGAGGUCUGGUUGUUCGGUAGUUUCAUUCGAAUAAACUAAGGGAACGAAACUACCGAACAAUCACAAGAAUACAAGGCUUUAAAACACAUAGGAAACUAACAGAUCACACGAAUGCAUUUAUUUCACAGACAUUUGCAGGACAGCCCAGUGCCAUCCGCUACACUGCUCCCCCUUGCCCACAAGCCGGCAUACACAGUCUGAUCCAACACGGAUCGGCUUGGGGAUGUCCGGGGACUCACGGAUCAUUUCUCCAGGUCAGUUUGUCUUGACAACCCGUCGGCAUUCCCAUUCUGUUUACCCGGGCGGUACUGAAUAUUAAAGUCAAAAGGCUGCAGCGCCAAACUCCAGCGCAGCAGCCUGGCAUUGUCCCCAGCCACCCGGUUUAGCCAGACCAACGGGUUGUGAUCCGUGAGUAACGAAAAAGGCUGUCCAUAUAGAUACGGCUGUAGUUUCUUUAAGGCCCACACCACAGCCAGGCAUUCCUUCUCGAUGGCGGCGUAGCUUACUUCUCUGGGUAACAGCUUGCGACUGAUGUAAGCCACGGGGUGUUCUCCGCCAUCGGCUCCGACUUGGCUCAGUACUGCUCCCAAUCCAAACAUAGAAGCGUCUGUGUGAACAAGAAAACGUUUAGUUGGAUUGGGAGCUGCCAAGACAGGAGCGUUUAUCAGUGCAUUUUUCAGAUGUUGGAAUGCCUGCUCACACUCCGGGGUCCAGGUCACCUGGCGGGGCAAAUUCUUCCGAGUAAGGUCAGUGAGAGGUUUGGCGAGGGCGCUAUAGUUAGGGACAAACUUCCUGUAAUACCCAGCGGUCCCUAGAAAGGCUAACACCUGGGUUUUAGUCCUAGGAGUGGGCCACUGGGCCACGGCUUCUACCUUGGCUGGUUCGGGCUUCUGUUUGCCGCAACCCACUCUAUGUCCGAGGUACUGCACCUCGGCCAUCCCUAUGCUGCACUUGGCCGGUUUCAAUGUCAAACCAGCUUCCUUAAUCCUGUCUAGAACCGCUCCUAUAUGGGCCAAGUGCUCCUGCCACGUAUUGCUAAAAAUGGCAAUAUCGUCCAGGUAGGCACAGGUGUAGUCUUGGAACCCAUCCAGGAGUCGGUCUACCAUCCGCUGGAAAGUAGCUGGGGCGUUUUUCAUCCCAAAUGGCAUGACCUUAAACUGGUACAAGCCAAAUGGGGUGACAAAGGCCGAUUUCGGGAUGGCCUCUGGGGCCAGGGGGAUUUGCCAAUACCCCUUACAUAAGUCAAUGGUAGUGAGGUAUUGACCCCUGGCCAUUCUGUCCAGUAGCUCAUCUAUCCGUGGCAUAGGGUAUGCAUCGGACACCGUUUUCUCGUUUAAUCUCCGGUAGUCUACGCAGAAGCGGGUCGUACCGUCCCGCUUCGGUACGAGUACUACCGGAGAAGCCCAGGGACUAUCUGAGGGCUCAAUUACCCCCAGUUGGAGCAUCUCAUCGAUCUCCUUGCGCAUGUUUUCCCUUACCGCUUCGGGGAUGCGGUAGGGGGUCUGACGCAUCGGUAAUUGCCCUGGGGUCUCUACCCGGUGAGUGGCCAGAGGGGUGUACCCAGGUACGUUAGAGAACGUGUCUCGUUUCUCUUCCAACAGCUGCCGUACCUCGAUGCGCUCCUGUGGGCUCAGCCGGUCUCCCAGUGUGACUUCCCCUAAAUCCCCAGACAGCUGCCCAUCUUCCAGCAGAUCUGGGAGUGGUAAGCUGUCAGACUCAUCUGAAUUGGGCGCGCAUAUGGCGGUUACCUCCUCGGAGCGUGCUUGGUAGGGCUUCAUCAUGUUCACAUGGAGCAUGCGUCGCCCUCCCGUCCCUGUACAGGAGCCAAUUAUAUAGGUGGUGUCACAUCUCUGUUCCACCACCCUAUAAGGUCCCUGCCAGGCGGCCUGUAGCUUGUCAUGUCGGACAGGCUUUAAAAUCAGCACUUUCUGCCCGACCUGAAAGCUACGGUCCCUGGCUCCCCGGUCAUACCAUGUGCGCUGGCGAGUCUGUGCCGCCUGAAGGUUUUCCCUUACCGUCCUGGUUAAGGCUUCCAGGCGGUCUCGGAGAGCCAACACAUAAGGUAUGAUGGGGGUGCCAUCUGCGCUCCGGUCUCCCUCCCAAUGCUCUCUUAUAAGAUCUAAGGGGCCUCUGACCCUCCUCCCAAACAGCAGUUCAAACGGGGAGAACCCCGUGGAUUCCUGCGGCACCUCCCGGUAAGCGAAUAGGAGAUGCGGCAGGAACCGCUCCCAGUCCUUGUGGGUCUCUGCGAAGGUUCGGAGCAUUUGUUUCAAUGUGCCAUUGAACCGUUCGCAGAGCCCAUUAGUCUGGGGGUGGUAAGGGGCACUGAUAAUAGGCUUAAUGCCACAGAUCCUCCAGAGGUGUUGGGUGAAUUCUGCGGUAAAUUGGGUACCCUGAUCCGAGAUAAUCUCCCUGGGUAAUCCCAACCGGGAGAAUAUCUGCAUGAGGGCAUCCGCGACCGUUUCAGCCUGAAUGUUGGUCAGAGCCACCGCCUCUGGAUAUCUGGUAGCAUAGUCUACUACCGUUAAAAUGUACCUUUUGCCUGACGGGCUGGCUUUCUUGAGGGGACCUAUCAAGUCUACCGCUAUUCUGCUAAACGGUUCCUCAAUUAUUGGCAAGGGGUGUAGCUUCGCCUUCCUCCGGUCUCCCCUUUUCCCUACCCUCUGGCAGGUGUCGCAGGUGGUGCAAUACCGGCGCACUUCCUGGCUGAUCCCUGGCCAGAAGAAAUUUUGGGUCAGUCGAUACCUAGUACGGCUGACCCCUAGAUGUCCGGAUAGCGGGAUAUCGUGCGCUAUCCGGAGUAGCUCUGCUCGGUACCGCUGCGGCCCCACUAGCUGCCUCGUCACUAUUGGGUCUGACCCCUCAAUCUGCUUGUCUGUCUCCCGGUACAAAAGCUGCUUGUCCCAGACAAAUCUCUCCCCCUGGAGGGUCUGCUGUCACCUUGUCUCUGUAUACCUGCAAGGUGGGGUCAGUCACUACCUCUGCUGCGAAUUCGUUAGGAGGGGCCCAGGGGACACAGUCAAGGGAAGGGGAAGGGUCUCUUACCUGAACCUCCGGAAGUGUGUUGUAGUCCUGGGUGCGGGCCUGUUGACGGGUGACCACAGGAUGAGCUUCUCCUGUGGUGGACGUCUGGGGCUCAAAAGCAGAUGUGAGCCUCCCCAGAUCGUUCCCCAAUAAAACCUCCGCCGGUAACUGCGGCAUCAACCCCACCUCCACAUGUCCUGCCCCCGCUCCCCAAUGUAAAUGUACCCUUGCUGUAGGUAGCCGGUACACUGCUCCCCCGGCUACCCUGACGGCCACAGUUUUACUUAGUCUCGCUUCAUCCGAGACCAGAUGACUUUUGACCAAGGUGAUGGUAGCCCCCGAAUCACGUAGGCCCUGUACUGCUUUACCCUCCAAGUAUACGGUCUGCCUGUGAUGCUGUCUGUUAUCAGCAUUGGCCUGGACUGGAUCCGCCUCGUGUAGUACUUCCCACUGUUCCACGGUUGUUAUGGGAACAGCUGACCCAUAUGGUGUGGCCACUAUAUUUUGGUAGUGAUGGGCGGCGGCUGCUCUCGGUGGUGGUGGUGGUGGGCCGGGGCGAAUCCAGGUAGAACGAUCCCUCAGCUGGGGACAUUCCCUUUUAUAAUGUCCCCACUUCUGGCAGUGAUGACAGGGGCCAGAAGCGGGCUGGCGAAACCGGGGCUGUACAGCGGGUGGUGGUGGUGGUAGUUGCCUCGGUGGAGCUGGGUUGUAGCUGUUUCCCCCAAAGGUUUUAAAAAUAGCUUUUGGGGCUGCUGGUUUCUGCUGCCUGCGUGCAUCCAAGUACUCAUCGGCCUUCCUAGCAGCUUCGGUAAGGGAGGUAGGGUUUCUGUCCCUCACCCAUUCCUGGACCUCGCCUGUUACCCCCUCAUAGAAUUGCUCCAACAACACCAUUUGCAAUAAGUCCUCCAUGGACCGAGCCUUAUUAGACUGUACCCACCCCAGAGCGGCCCGAUGCAACUUGCAAGCCCAUUCCACAUGAGAGUCCUUGUCAUUUCUCUUUAGGUCUCUAAACCGUCGCCGAUAUGCCUCUGGCGUGAUUGCAUAUCGGGCCAGGAUCACUUCUUUUACUCGGCGGUAAUUCCGAAUUUCCUCAUCAGGUACAGUUCUAUAGGCUUCCGCCGCCUUCCCUGUGAGCUUCCCUGCUAAAAUAGGCACCCACUCAUCUGGGCUAAUAUUAUGCAAGGCACACAGCCUUUCAAAGUCUUGGAGAAAAGCAUCUAUAUCUUCCUCUGCUUCUAUAUACGUUUUAAAGGCUUGGUAAGGAAUUUUUGUCUUACCCUGUGUGAUGGUAGUUGUGGUAGCAUUCCUCUCCAGCUGCUGUAGUGGCUUUUGGCGCAGUAUAAACUCCUGUACCUCUGACAUUGUCCUGGAUAUAAUAUCCGUUGUUGGAUUCUCUCCAUAAAAGGACAGCCUGAACUGCACCUCUCUCCGGAACUCUUCUUUUUCAGCACCAUCUGCUGCACUCUGUUGCUCAGGGAUUACCCUGUCCUCCUGCUGGUAUUCAGCCAUCACUUCUGCAAUGAGGAUUGCUUUCUUUUUGUUGCUGGCUGCAAUGCCUUUCGCUUCCAGGAGAUCUUUUAGCGUGGAUCUUUUAAGCUUGGCAUAAUCACUCUCCAUCCGUAUUCCAUUAGUCCUUGUUCCCUUGUGAGUCUGGAUCCCAGCGCUGCCAACCAAUGUAGCGGAGAUGCAAUAUUACCCAGGUUAUCUCCGCUUAUAAUCCAAGUGAGACUCAGGAACAAGUAAAUAGUAAAUCCAAAGGCAGGGUUUCCAGCAGGUAAAAUACAGCAAUAUCCCAACAGCAAUCCCAAUAACUGGACGACACACAGUUUCAGGAGCAUAACUGACAAGCCUUUAAUCACAGUCUCCUUAUAAAGCAUGCUCCCAUGCAAGGGAGGGAUUACAGUAAUUAUUACAGUAGCCAAUCCUGUCCUGGUAACCUCCCACACAUCUCCUCCCCUCAGCCAGCAUCAUAAUCCCCUUAUCCAGUACACCAAUUCCCCCCGUUUCUGGAUGUACCCCUAAACGUAGGGGUACCUCUUUAAAUCCUACAUCCCCUGGUAGCCCUGAUCUGGGUGAACAACAUAUCCAAAAACCACCCAGAUCAGACCAGGGGUUCGGGAAAAGUAUGGAGGGAAUAAAAUGACCGACCGCACGAACUGAGAUAGCCGAAUUCGGUUCCAUGUGAAUGGGCCCUGCGGUCGGUCCUGGCAUAAGGGAAUAAAAUACACGAAAACCUCUAGCUAUAGAGGCUAGGGAGGGUUCGCCUGAAUCCCCUCGUUCGGUAUUCUCUAUCUACCGAACGAGGGGCCGUUCGGUAGUUUGGAACCGAACGGACCAGGGCUGUGGAGGUCUCAGCGGUGUUCGCCUACUCGAGUGUCCGAUUUUAGUUCCAGACACUCGACGGCUAAACACCGCUGUUCGGGAGUUUUAAAAUGGCCACGUGUUCGUUUGUCGAAUGGCGGCCACCCCCGAGAACAAAGGACGGCUACUUACUGUUCAAUUACCCGUUCGCAACAAUGUUGCAACGGGUAAUUGAGGACACACUUCACACAGGGGAGGUCUGGUUGUUCGGUAGUUUCAUUCGAAUAAACUAAGGGAACGAAACUACCGAACAAUCACAAGAAUACAAGGCUUUAAAACACAUAGGAAACUAACAGAUCUAAACUAACAGAUCACACGAAUGCAUUUAUUUCACAGACAUUUGCAGGACAGCCCAGUGCCAUCCGCUACAAUGGGGUAGAAGAGGUUAAGAAGCAAUGAAGGCUGCUUGUUAAAGGAAUGAUAAGAAAUAUACUCACAAAGAGUUUGAACAAUAUAAUACAUAUAGGAUAGUACAGCAAGGAAAUAUAUACAAAUGUAGCAAUUAAAUUAUAUAACCUAAGGAUGGCAGAGGGAUAAUGUGUCUGAAAAACAUUAUAUAGCUAAGUCUUCAUUGAACUUGCUAAAAACUGAAUCGACUUCAAGGUUGCUGUCUGAAAAAAUAAUAUUGGAAUGAAGGCAAAAGGCUAGGUUGAUUGUAAAACAGAGACAAUAAUAAAGUAAAUCCAUCUGUUAUCAGGUAGUUGUGGUGAGUAGAAAAAAAUAUACUCAAAGAGAGGUUGAACCCAAUAGCUUAGUUGCUAAGCAGUAUAAUACCUAUGAAAUGAUGCCUCAAGGGAAUAUAUACAAUGUUGCAAAAAAUUCUAUAUUAUUUCGUCCCAUAAUAGUACCCAGCCGGGCUUGAUGGGUGUCCUGGGGAGGCAAGACCUCGUCAGAGCCGUCGCUUGUCCAGAAGUUGACACUGAAUAGCAGCAGGAGUCCCAUUCUGUAGGCCCCAAGUCCUCUGUGUCACAAACGCACCCUACUUCAAGAGUGUGCAUGACAUAGUAGUGGUGGUGAAAGGGUUAAUGUUCACUAUUUGUGUGCACUAGACCGGAAAUAAUGAUAAAAUCCCCCUUAACACCACCCACACUUAAGCAUAAUAAUAUAAAUAUCACUAUUUUAACGCUAUCAUCACCAAGACAAUUUAAAAAUGGGGUGCCUUGGUCCCCCAGGUAUUUAAUAAUAAAAUCCCACCAAAUGUAACUUAGCACAAUAUCUAUGUAAUUGCAAAAUGCUAAUUUGUCUCUUCAGGUAACGUGAUUCUUUUCCAGACAAAGGCAGAACUUAAUAAUAAUAGUAAUAUUUAUUAUGAGCAAAAAAAUUGUCGCAGUGCAUGCAAAAAUAUAAAAAAUAUUUACACCAGCAACAGAUAAAAACAAAAGGGAUGAAACAGAAAUAACACUUACUCAGCCUUUCAAAGUAAAACUUCUGCCGAAGGUGGUCUCUGGUAGGAAAGAUGGUGACUCACUUAGAAUUAGAUUCUGGCACCUCAAGCAAGUACAAUGCACACUUCAGUAUAAUUAGAGAUAUAGCCUGUGGAUUACCACGCCUCGCCCUGAGGUGGAGUUAAGGCAUAUCUAUAGAGACAAUACGUGAUCACCCCCUUGUAUCCCAGACCAACAUCAAUCCAAAUGGAAAUGUUUGGUUCUAUCUUCCCUUUUGUACUUGCCACAGAAAUAAUAAUUGCAUCUAGAAAUUUGUUAUUAUUCUUCCAUACCAUAGAUAUCUCACACACCUUACUUGCGACUCAAAAUAUAGCGGGCAUCACAAUCCUUUCCAUUAUGGUUAAGUUAUGCCAAUCAUGUUUGGGCUUGUUUAGAAGAUGGCGCUUGUCACAUUCCAAAUAUAACAAAAAUGAGUCAAUUAUGAUGCUGUGGGUUAAUAUUAAUGAUACUGGAACAAGGCUAAUGGACAUUAACAUAUCAAAGGAGAUUGACUCAUCAAUUAAGAGGUACAGGCCAUAUGACUGAAGCCAGACAUUCAGGCUUUUCAAGUGUAGAAUUUCAAACUUUGCAGAGCCUUUGAAUAAUCACAGGAUCCAUCCAUAUGGUAACCCAUCUGACCCCUUUCACAGUCAUAUGCUAAUUACAUUACCCCUUCUGUCAUCUGAUCUCUGUGGGGGUCCCAGCUUAUAACCUAAAGCUAUAAACCAUCUGACCUUCCGUACAAUCAAAUUUACCCCUUUUGUCAUUGACAAUACCACCUCUACCAGGAAGGCAGGUCAUCUAUGCACUACACAAAUGACAUAAAAGGACACUUUUCCAUAGUGCAAUAAUGAAUUAUGCACCCUUGCCGUGACACUCGUUUUUGCACCUGCAGUGAACUGGAACGGCAUCCCCCAAAUCGGCGCAGGUUCCCAAGCAUGCAGGUAAGUAUUAUGCCGAGUAAUAUAGUGUUUAUCAUCACGGACAAGCUGUUUUUUUUAAGUUUGGAUUUCGGAGCUGUGAGUAAUGGCGUCUGCUCCUUAAUGCUGCCAGCUCCGCCCUUUAAGCAAAUUUUAUGCUGCAAGUUUCCUUAUCUGAAGGUCUUAUUUAUUUGGAAAUGUAAUGACAACUUUUUUAGGAGAACAUGGCUAAGCUGGAAAAUAGUUUCAUAGAAUUUUUUAUAUGAAGCAAAUUUUAGCAAAACAUUGGUAAGUUCAGUGAAUAAACCUGUGUGUGUCUCAUGCACACUGCUUGUGGCUUGGAUCGGCUGCAUACAACCCUACAACUAGAUAGGCAUUCUGGGUGUCAUCGUUCAACACAUGCUGAAGACUUGCUGAAGGAGUUAGUGUCUUCUCAUGCACAGAAGUCUUCAUUGAUGGGAAACAUGAAAAAAUAUACAAAAGAACAGUAGUUCAGAAACUAUCCAGGAUUUAUGUAUUUCCCUGUUUUAUUCCACUGGAGAUACUGUCCUGGACUGUUGGUGGAUCCUGAGUACUGGUUUGGGAAGCACUGCAAUAGAAGCUCUUUUGUGCAUGAUAUCAAAGGGACACUCCAAGCACCAUAGCCACUACAGGGUGGUGCAGGGUUUAGCUCAUUGUCUAAGCCAUCAGCUGAUGCUAUUAGCAAGCAGUUUGACUACUUACACGGGGAAAGCCAGGGCAGUCCUAGGGUCAUACCCAGCGCAGUGUGCUGUAGUGGUUAUGGUGCUUAGACCGCUCCUUACAAUGUAGCCUUCUGCUGACUCCCUUUGCUGUAUUCAAGGUUUGUUUAGUUUGUCCUUGUCACUGUGUCACUGGAUCCUGAGUGAGCUAUAUCAAUAUCUAUAUAGAUGUAAAUAAUGUAUUUGUAAAAAAAAACCACAAAAAAACACCAUUCCAUAUUUCUAGAUAGUUCCUGAUCACAGCAAUCAUCUUCCAAUGUUGCCUAUUCUCUAUUAAAAUUCAGAAUUUUUAAAGACUGGCAAAAAAAGAGACUUGGGGCUCCAGCCCUGUGUAUCCACUCCUAGCAAUGCCCUGCCUUCAUCCCUUUGUCAAUCACAGAAUAAAUCCGUAACAGCUAGUGAUAUAAAUCUUAUUCAAGGUAAUGGCAGAAAUCCCAUUGAGGAAAACGGUCCUCCCUGUCCUGACAUACAGCUCUGACAUUACCUACAGGCCAUGUCCUGUUUGAAAUUGUUCAUAAAGAAGAUUAAAGCUGGAGAGCGCAAUCAUAAAGAAAACAUAUAGAGCUCCAUGAUUUACAUGUGCGAGUAGGAUCCUAUAUUCCAGCUGGUUUAUUGAAAUUGAUUGUGUUCUCUCAGAAAAUAAACUUUGAUCACAUUAUGUGCACAAAGCUCUGGUCAUUGGCCAUUGUGGACAAUCUCUGGCAUUGAACCUAUUCAGGAUUUAGCUUUAUUGAAGGGCAGAGGAUUGUGGGAAAUGUAGUCCACUGCAGCUGCGUUAUCCCAGUCAGUACGAUGACUCAAUGUAUUUACAGUUUAUGAAAAUGUUAGUGAAGCCGCACACUGUUCGGAGGGCGUCAUUGUUUGCUGCUUUGUGUUGUAAGCAGCGGGUCACAGACUUUUUAUUGCUUUUGACAAAUGUGCUUGGAAAAGGCCUUUAUUUGCAAUGAGCCAGCUAUUUUUGGCAGGCGUCGGAGCCUGCAGCCUGUAAUGAGAUUACUGAAAACUUUUAUUUGAAUGUGUGCAUUGCGAUGUAAGCGUCCAACAUGGAACCCGGGUCAAUUUUGUUUCACUUAUAUAUAUAUAUACAUUUGUUUAUCUUUAUAUAUUUAUCUUUCUAAACAUAUAAAAUAUGAAUAUUGUAAUUUUUUUUGUUGCCAUUUGCUCAGACAUGAAAAUGAACCACACUUCUUAAGCCUUGUUCCAAACUGUGUAGCAGUAUUCCAGUAAUUGGUUACUAAACAGAAAUUUUAGAACGGUGAGGUAUAAGUGAAUUAAACCAAUUAGGCAGCUGCUACAAAACUAAGGAACCUUCACCCUAAAUAAAAAGAUUAAAGUACUCUGUCACCAAUACUAAACUUUAUCUAAUCUGCUUCUAUAUUGCUCCCUGAGUCUCAAUAUCAUUUUAUUUUAUUUUUUUUCUGAGCGCUCUUGUUUUCAUAAAAUAUUUAAUGAAAAGUAAGGAACACUUUACCCUACGUAUAGCAGCCAAAUUGGCAGAACUUUAAAAAAAAAUGCUUUUUUGAGAAUACAAGUUCCCUGCUAUUACCACAACCUCCCUCUCCCCUCUUUUUUUACUUACCUGGUUUCCAGUGACAAGACACCAUCAUUGCAGCCAUCUACUUCACCUCCUUUUUUGUCAACAUCUCGUUGACAUCUUCCAUCGUUCUUUCCAGAGCUUCUUGCAGAGAAGCAUUGGAAACUAAAAGCACAUGCAAGGUAAGUGCUGUUUGACACUGAUUGGUAGAGGAGAAUAAAAUGGCUGCACCCAGAUAUUGAGAUCUGGCACAAGAAAGAGAAGAUAAUAAAUGUAAAUAGAGGCAAGUAGCAAGCGAAGGGCUAUAAUCAUUAACUCCUUCCCAGCGUUAUGGCAUGCUAUGCCGUCCUACAAAAGGAUCUGAUUGGAGGGACUGCCUGAAAACCGAGGCAGUGCCCCUACAGCCAAUCCCGCCAAUUGGAGUCACGUGAUUCCGAUGACACUGCAAUCACAUGAUCGCCGUGAUUGACAGAUUGAAUACCCUGAGUUGUCUACUUUUGUCGAUGGUAUGCCAUAAUGGGGGUCAUUUUCAUUUAUGGGCUGCCAUACAGUCUCAAAGGCAACAUGAUUCCAGCAAAGCAAUCUGGCAAAUUUCAAUGUGGAAUGGGCAUGCUCUUUAUUUGACCCUGUAACUUUUAAAAACUCCAUAAAAAGCAUGUACAUGGGGAGUACUGUUGUACUUGUGCAACAUUAGAGUAUCCAAAUAUGUGCGUUUUGUUGCAGUAAAAGCCAACAGUAUUAUGACAUUCACAGUUAAACUGAUUUCUCACACUUUUUAAAAAAAUAUUUUAUUCAUAUUAAAUUAUGUUUCAUAUAUAAAUAUUUGAUAUGAAAUGAAAGCCCUGUUUCUCCUGAACAAAAUGAUAUAUAAUAAGUGUGGGUGCACUUAAUAUGAAAGAGAUACAUUAUGGUUGAACAGACAUAUAGCGCAAAUUCCAGGUGCUAUUUUGGUUCAGAACUUGUACAAUUGUCUCCGUCUUUAUGGGGUUAACACAAAACAGAACAACAUAAAAUGUAUUAAAAAGAUAGAGUUUUUUUUUUAUAAAAGUGUUCUCUUCUACAAAGUGAUGAAAAAGGAGUGGAAUCACUAUAGGAAUGUGGCGGCUGGUUCCCCUGGUUCUCAUGGUGAUAACUCUACUUCUGUUACUUCAGACCACUUUUUAGAACAGAACACUUUGAUAAAUGACUCUCUUUGAAUAUAUCUGUGCCACAGAGACAAUCACACAAUACAAGACACCCACAGCUUCUAAUAUAGAGGAAAACCAGAGUGACAUUACUAAUAAUUCAAUUUCUCAAUCAGUAGAAGACAUUCGUUUGAGAGUUCUGAGUUCAGUGUAAAAGUGUGAGUGAUGUAGUUUGUAUCUUAUACAAGCUUUACAUUGUUUGCAAACUUACAUUGACAGUGCCUACAUGUAGCAGGACCACCACUCUAAUUGAGCCUCUAAUAAUCUUCUUUUUUCAUCAUUGCAAUGUAUAUUUAUAGCGCUAACACCUACAGUGAGGGAAAAAAAGAUUUGACAUGCAAAUCAAUUUAUAACUUUUUUGACAUGCGUUUUUCUGGAUUUUUGUUGUUGUUAUUCUGUCUUUCACUGUAAAAAUAUACCUACCAUUAAAAUUAUAGACUGAUCAUUUCUUUGCCAGUGGGCAAACGUUCAAAAUCAGCACGGGAUCAAAUACUUUUUUUCCCUCACUGUAUGUAGCUACCGAAUACAUUGCUAAAGGAUAUGAUGUAUUAGGAUUUAAGAUACUUGUCUGUAUGUUUUCACUCUAUCUCUGGUCACUGAUCGUCCUAUCACUAGCUUUCCCCUGGAUUCUUACCACACAUUCUAAACUUUUAAAUAUUCACUUGGAGAACACCCAUCUACAUAGGAAGGGAUAUCUUUUUACUAUCUACCUACCUAAGCCAUAACUUAACCUUUUGUGCAUCUCCCCCCUGCUCCCUUAGUGCCCUCUGGCACUUUGUACAUAUCCAUCCUUUGUGCAAAUCAUUCCUCCCUCCUUUAGAGGAGAACCAUCCCAAAGGAGACAUCUUCCCCUCUCCACGAUGAGUCUAACUGCCCUCCUUCUGGUGCAUUUCUCACCUUCUUCCUCCCUUGGUGCAUGUCCCCUCUUCGAUUCUCCCUCCAUCUGUGGAUCCCAAUCCCACCACCACUCACUCUCUCCCUCUCACAUUCCAGCAUUCUUCUGCGCAAAACACUGCUCUUGCUCUAUUGAUUACUUAUCCCCCAAAUCCACACUCUAUACACUCCCUCUAAUUCUUCCACGUUCUCCUUUAUAAUUUGCUCCAUGCCCGCUUACUCAAUCUAUAACCCGUUUCUCAUUGUGUAUUUUGAAAACCAUAAGUUAUUUGUGUGUUGGUUGUGAUUGAGAAGUCAGAUUUAUUAUCACAGGCAAAAUACAUAAAACUUGAUUCUGAGCCCAGAUUUUUCUCCCCGUUCUAUCUCUUGUCUUGGCAGUUUUGUGUAGAUAUCCAAUGUAUAUUCAUUAGUGCCUCUCACUGCCCUUGUGUCCUGGAGUAAAAGCUAAGAAGAGCAUUUGGCUCUCUCAUAUUGAGGACAUCUGGUCUGCAUGACAUUUUCUAAGACAGUAUCUUGGCAUCAUGGGUCACACUGAAACCUAGAGUGACAUUGACUUUCACAAUGUUCUGUUGUCACUAAGCAGCACAUCUCUUAACAUGAAAUCUCUGGCAGUGCUUUCUCUGAAUUGUCUUUGUAUCACUGCUAAAAUUGCACUAUUAAAUCUGUAUCAGUAUACGUGUCUGCAUAGAUUGCCUGCUUAGAGAGAUGCUUAGUUAAAUUAAAUAGACCAUUCUACUUGCUGCACCUUGAAUUAAAGGGACACGUAAUAUCAAUAGUUUUUCUAUGUUUUUUCCAAAUGUGUUGAUUAAAUAUUUGUAAUAUUCCAUUUCAGCUACAGGUGUGAUACAAUUUUAUAUGAUGUUUACUAUGAAAUAUUAUCUGUCUGUCAGUAUCUGUAAUGAUAUUUAUAAAUAUCAUACUUAUAAUCAUGCAGUACAUACUUACAAACAUUUAGAGAGUUUCUAUACGUUGCAUGUUCUCCAACCAAGCAUUAUACACUCUGUGUUCUCCACCCUGACUAGAUAUUCUAUACUCUGCAUGUUCUCCACCCUGCCUAGAUAUUCUACACUCUGCAUGUUCUCCACCCUGCCUAGACAUUCUAUACUCUACAUGUCCUCCAACCUGCUUAGACAUUCUACACUCUGCAUGUUCUCCACCCUGCCUAGACAUUCUAUACUCUGCAUGUUUUCCACCCUGCCUAGACAUUCUACACUCUGCAUGUUCUCCACCCUGCCUAGACAUUCUACACUCUACAUGUUCUCCACCCAGACUAGACAUUCUAUAUUUUGCAUGUUCUCAACACUGCCUACACAUUCUAUAAUCUGCAUGGUUUUCAGGCUGCCUAGACAUUCUGUACUCUGCAUGUUCUACACCCUGCCUAGACAUUCCAUAUUUUGCAUGUUCUCAACACUGCCUACCCAUUCUACAUUCUGCAUGUUCUCCAGGCUGCCUAGACAUUCUGUACUCUGCAUGUUCUACACCCUGCCUAAACAUUGUAUACUUUGCUUACAUGUUCACAAGCCUGCCUAGGCAUUCUAUAUUCUGCAUGUUUUUUGUUGUGUUGGUUUCCCACUGUACUCCAAUCCAGCUCAGUAGAUGGAAAAUUAACAAAAGUCGAAUGUUCUUGACAAACCGAGGAUAUCACUUGAUCCACAACCAGUUUACUGUGCAUUCCAUGAAGUGAGGAAUCAUUGUUUAGAACUGAAAAGGAACUGAAGGUGUCUACAGUGGCCAGACCAGUGGUCUGAUGAUGUCUCAUAGAAUUUGAAAUCAAUUACAAAGUGUGAGAAAUUAACAAUUAUUUUAAAGCUCCGUGUAGUCUUGUUAUCAAAACUUGAGGAACUUUGUAUAAAAAAGAUGCUUAUUCCUUCAUGAUUCACAUUUCUAUAUAUGAAUUGUCUGAUAUUAAAUCUGCAUAUCUGUCACUGUAUCAUCACUGCUUUGUUUCAUAUUCGAUGCGCUGGCGGACCGACUCAUACCGGCAAAACGUGUUUCAUUGUCUGAACAUCAUACUCUGCAUAAGCAGAAACCUACUGGAAUUCAUAUGCAAAUAUACAUUGGAACAAAUGUGCUGGCGUGUAUUAAAAUGUAUAUGCAAAUAUUUAUAGGAACAUAUUUUGAAUAUAUGUGAAUAUGUUUGAAUAUCAUAAUAAAUAUAUUUUUAGCUAAAAAGGAAAUGUAAUUUGUAAAACAUAUGCUGACAUAGAUGAAUGUAUGUAUGCAAAUAUUGCGCAUACACACAUAUAUAUAUAUAUAUAGCUCAGAAGAAUAUGCAUGAAAGUAUAACUAUAUUUGAGCAUGUAUUUAAAUGGAACAUAUGCGUGCAAAUAUCUAUAUGGAUUUUUGCAAAUAUAUGAAGGAAUAUAUUUGCCCAAGUAACCAUAUGAAGGUAUUUGCAUGACUAUAUAUAUAUAUACACACACACAUAUGCACACAGAUACAUGUCUAUAUACAGAGAAAGAAUUGAAGGACCACUCCACAACCCAAACACACUUCAGCUUUCUUGUACAAAGAAUCUGACUCAGUUGAGGAUUUGUCUCCCUUCACGAAGGGAGAUAUCAAAAGACUACUGCUGGACCUGAGGAAGGUAUAGAAGACCGACCUUCAGGCAUCUUAUAGAAGAAACUGGCAGCAGUGGAGGCCCGAGAAUCAGCUAGAGAUACUCUGAUACAGGAGACUAAGUGGAAGGCCUUACACAGCAGCUACAGAGGCUGACCAAAACUGUCACUGCGCUGGAAACAAGACACAGGCAAAAGAACAUCUCUCUUAGAGGUAUCUCGGAAACGGUUGGAGGAGCAGAGCUGAUGCCAUUUACAACCCCCCUGAUUGCUUCUAUGGGCCUCUAUGGGAUUUCUGACCCAUCGCCAGUGAUAUCAGUGUUCCAAAUGCGCAAAUCAACCGCAACCCCAGCUGGGGCCCCAAGAGACACAAUAGUUGUGACCAGGGAAAUUGCGGCACGUUCCGCUAUCAUGCCCCGCUCCAGAGGCCUAGGCACUGUGGAAUUUGAGGGGAGCCUGGUAGCUUGGAACCUCCCGUUUGCUGUCUUGCUGAAGAAACAAAAAUUGUCUCCAAUUGCAAAAGACUGAGAGAUCACUUGGUCAAGUACUGCUGGGGGACGCAGGGCACCAUUGUGGUACCAAGAGAGGAUGAGCCGCUGACCCUGUCCUCUGCUGACGAUCAACUGUCUUUCUUACAGAAACUUAACCAACCAGCCAUACUGAAAGAAAACACAGAAGCAAGAUCUCCGGACAGCCUAUAGGAGAGAUCUCUGCAACCGCCAGCUCAGCAGCUGGCAACGACAGUCCGACGGCUGCAGUUUAAGGAGAUACCCUUAGCAACGGCACUCUGUUUUAAACAUGGCUUUUUAAACUAAAGCAUGGCUUGUGAUCCAAAAGCAUCAUUGACCAGAAACCAACCAUGGACGUUACAGUGUCAACCCUUUUGGGUCUCGUCAGCAUAGUGCUGGUUCUGGUUUAGGAGUCUUUCAGUUAGCGUAUAGCCAAGUUCCAAAUAAAUUGUGGUGAAAGAAAAAUAAAUCUUACUGCAAACUUGAAAUGUGCAUAAUCUUAAUAUCUCAAGUAGGGAUUUGGGAAAAGUCUGCCUAGAGAACAGAAAUUGCCAGAAAUCUACAGCAGCCUGGCCCAUUGGGCUCUGUUACAGAUUUUAAAUAAUUGUUUUUUAGUAUUGUCUAUAUGAAGGAUACAAUGCUGGAGUGAAGUUACCAUGUUGCCUAUGCAUACACCCUAAUUGACCUGCAUUGACACUAUACAUCCCUCUGUCUUUAAGACUGUGCAAUCAGGGUGUUACGACAGUCCCUUUACACACACUGACAUUUUCAGAAACAGAAUCUCAACAUAAAUACACCUGCAUUCGCUGAUACUACACACAUAUAUACACACCUAAAAAAAACAGAUGUAGGUUGCACCAAAAUAUAAAGUCCAAUUAGUCCACAAAUGCAUGAGUAUGUUCUUAGCUGGUUCCUGUCCAGACUUCAUAUAGAAUAAAACAGAAAAUAAAAGGUGAUGGUGCAGAGUGUUUGGAACUGGGUACAGGAAACAUAACAUAAAUGCAUAUAGUAUAUCCAGGGCCCCCAUCAGGGCAUGACAGCUGUGACAGUUGUCAUGGGCCCAGCAGCCCUGGGGGGCCUGGACAAGGGAUUCUGUCAGGGGAGUACAACCCUUUUACUUUUUAAGGGGCCAAGACCACCAGGAGGCCCCAAAAGCCUGGACCCCUUACAUGCACACAGACCCAGUCAGGGAGAUUAAAUAUCUCCCUCCACGGGUUUUUGCAGAGUUUGUGCAGAAGGAACGGGGCAGUAGCCUUUACCUCUGUGGCUAGCCGAGUCCCAGCUUUCAGAGCGUUGCCAAGGCAACCUCAGCCCCCACAAAACUCAGCCCCUACACUACUCAACAAACACUUUCACACAUACACACAAUGGAUCCCUUUGCACACAAUGCAUCCCUACAUGCACACACGCACACACAAUGCAUCCCUACAUGCGCACACGCACACACACACACACACACACACACAAUGCAUCCCUACACAAACACAAUGCAUCCCUACACACACACACACUGCAUGCCUACAUACACAAGGUAGUCCUACAUACAUACACACACACACACGAUGUAUUCCAACAUAUACACAGACGCACACAAUGCAUCCCUACAUACACACACACACACACACACACACACAAUGCAUCCCUACAUGCGCACACACACACACACACACAAUGCAUCUCUACACAAACACAAUGCAUCCCUACACACACACUGCAUAGAAAAAAGAAAGAAAGGAAGGCAGCGCCACUACAAACCACAUAAAUUAAAAGAGCAUAGAAUAGGCAGACUAGAAUGCAAUAUAUAUAAUAGAUAAUAAGCAAAUAGAAGUCCAGAAUAAAUAGUAGAGGUGAAUACAGUCUUUUGUAGUGGGUGAAUACAGUCUUUUGUAGUGGGGGAUUCUUCAGAGUGGUGUAGAUGCGUCUUUGUACAUCAUAUGAAAUGAGAAAAUAACAACUGAUGGUAUAGUAUGUCCAGAAGGGGGUAGAAGCAAUAAAAGAGUAUAUGGUCCUACUCACGUUUUCAAGAGCUAUAGACUUAGCUCUAGUGUUGAUAACGUACAGUGGUAUAAUCCCCACUUAUGGGAUACGUGAGGUCUUAGUAUUCUUUCUUGAUUAGGGAACCAUAUGUGGAAAUAAAAGCGGGAACAGCAAUGGUGCUCAAAGUAUAAAAUGCCAGAGGUGAGAAGAUAAAAAACCAAGUGGUUACUCACAUUUAGUUGAACAGACUAACUGUUCAAUGAAUACAGCUUGAGUGGUAUAAUCCCCACCUAGGAUUCUUGGGAGUAAUAUCCUCACUGGAAAGUAAAACCACUUCUGGUGCCGGAUAAAAGGAUGGUAGUAGUAAAAAAGUAAAAUGAUAAUAGUAAUAAAAAGUAAGAUGGCUAACUCACCGUAAGAAAGUGGCCAAAAUACCUUUAUUUAAAACAACAUAGUUUAAAAAACCACAACGCGUUUCGCCCUUAGGCUUUAUCAAGUGGAGAUCAGAAAGUACAUCCUGUUACAUACAGGUUUAUAUAGGCAGUGAACAUAUUAGAAAAUGGACCCAAAAUUAUGUCAUAAUUCCAUCUUUUUUUUUUUUAAAGUGCUAAAUUUUAUAUGUGUAAGUGAGUACAUACCUAUAUGUGAAACAUGUGAUAGUUUAAAAUUAAAAACUUGGUUUUAUACUCACAAUACCUUACAUAUUAUAUUUAGAUAGAACAGUCACAUGAUCGGCGGGGGUCAAAGGAAUGGAGAAUACAGGAGAAUCGAAAUAACAAGCCAAAUAAUCGGUAAC
Non-coding RNA from Pelobates cultripes (western spadefoot toad), 20949 nucleotides. The record is from the annotation of a GenBank genome assembly. NCBI's taxonomy places the organism in Eukaryota, Metazoa, Chordata, Amphibia, Anura, Pelobatidae.